Pangasianodon gigas (Mekong giant catfish) is the source of this 72-nucleotide non-coding RNA. The record is from the annotation of a GenBank genome assembly. NCBI's taxonomy places the organism in Eukaryota, Metazoa, Chordata, Actinopteri, Siluriformes, Pangasiidae.
AGAAGGAAAAAAAAAUGCUGGUUGUUGCUUCUAGGCCUUUUGGCUGCAAUCAAGUGUCGUAUCCGUUCUUGC